AUGGUGGCACCCGCUGAAUCACGGGGGCUGUGUCUGCACGCUGCAGGGCAGGAGGCACUUGGUCUACUGUCGGGGAACUCACUCCUCAGGGCGCUGCCUGGCGCCCAGCCCUGGGGUCCGAGGGUCACAGCCCUGCCCGGGAGUCCUAGAAGAACCCCACCCCGGUUGGGUGCUGCGGCCAUUGGCCCCGUCCCACUGCGCGGGCCUGAAACGCACACACCUGAGGCGGGGGCUGAGAGGGGAGAGGUGCCCAGCCAAGGGGAUGCAGCGACCGGAGAGGCAGCAGGCCAGGCCACGUGGGCGUGGGCAGCACGGAAAGGUAAACCGAGGCCCAGAGUAGGCAGGGGCCGCGGAAUCACAGGGGGCGGGGACGGCCCUCCACCGCCCCCUGCCCCCAUUGAGGAAAAAGUUGAAUGGGAGGGGGCGGCCCCCGGAAGCCCGCAGGGAUGGAAACGCGGCUUCCAUAGCAACGUGCAGCGAACCGGGCCUGACGUCACCGUGGGGAGGGCGCCCCGCCCGCCCCCGUCCUUGCGUAAGGCGGCCCAGGCCCCGCCCCCCCGGGACGCCUCAUUGGUGGCCACAUCGUUCGCUCUUCCGCACGCACCAAUAGCCGCGCGGGGUUGCCGCCCGGAGGUGGGACUGCGGCGUGGCCCGGCUGAGUGCGCAGGCGCGGCGCGGCGCGGCGCGGAGGCGUGCGGCCCCCCUCCGGCCGCACGUCCGCAGUUUGGAGGCGGGAUGCGCGCCAAGGGGUCUGAUGCCUGCGGCAGCUCCGGGACGGAAGAGGGGGCGUACCCGGGGGCGCCGCACGUGCACCCCCCCCUUCUAAGCCGGGCCAUUGCCUGUUGCCCCCUCCCCACGACACCGUGUGCGCGAGCCCCGGGCUGGGGGGAGCGCAGGGCGAGGAGCAGGAGGAGGGCACUUGGGUUGAGGCCCUGCCAAAGGAAUAGGACUUUGCCAAGGAUAGGAAGAGGGAACUGGUGCCCCAGGUGUGGGGCAUGGCGUGUGCAAAUGUCUGAAGACGUGAAAGCGGGUGCAUUUGGGGAACAAUUGGGAAGUCAAUUUGGGGGGCCUAAGCCAAAAGGCGAAGGCAAGGACUCGAAAGGGGUGAUUCCUCAAGUCUGGCUUAGGGGGGGAAGAGAUGGGAACCCCAGAGAGGAGGGGCGGGUGGAGAGGGCAAAGGCCAGAACAUCCCAGGAGCUGUCUGGACGCUCUGCUUGGGCUUCGGAGAGGCCUGGGAAGGGACCGAUGGGGCAUUGUCUGAAGGUGGCCUCUGGUUCACAGUGA
RNAcentral lists this long non-coding RNA (1284 nucleotides) under Balaenoptera musculus (blue whale). RNAcentral's name for it is "lncRNA (ENSBMSG00010010112.1)". Lineage: Eukaryota; Metazoa; Chordata; Mammalia; Artiodactyla; Balaenopteridae. The record is from RNAcentral.